CUGAUGCAGCAACGCCGCGUGAGGUAUGAAGGCCUUUGGGUGUGUGAAGCCUCUGUCCUAGGGGAAGAAAAAAAUGACGGUACCCGAGGAGGAAGCCCCGGCUAACUACGUGCCAGCAGCCGCGGUAAUACGUAGGGGGCAAGCGUUAUCCGGAAUUAUUGGGCGUAAAGAGUGCGUAGGUGGUCUACUAAGCGCGAGGUGAAAGGCAAUGGCUCAACCAUUGUUAGCCUUGCGAACUGGCAGACUUGAGUGCAAGAGAGGAAAGCGGAAUUCCUAGUGUAGCGGUGAAAUGCGCAGAUAUUAGGAGGAACACCGGCGGCGAAGGCGGCUUUCUGGAUUGUAACUGACACUGAGGCACGAAAGCGUGGGUAGCAAACAGGAUUAGAUACCCUGGUAGUCCACGCCGUAAACGAUGAGCACUAGGUGUCGGGACAUGAGUCUCGGUGCCGCAGUUAACGCAAUAAGUGCUCCGCCUGGGGAGUACGCACGCAGUGUAAAACUCAAAGGAAUUGACGGGGACCGCACAAGCAGCGGAGCAUGU
This 541-nucleotide ribosomal RNA is filed under the name [Eubacterium] saphenum. Its description in RNAcentral is "bacterial SSU rRNA". It matches the Rfam family "Bacterial small subunit ribosomal RNA", at positions 383 to 942 of the family's 1533-position model. Lineage: Bacteria; Bacillati; Bacillota; Clostridia; Peptostreptococcales; Anaerovoracaceae. The record is from RNAcentral.